RNAcentral lists this ribosomal RNA (484 nucleotides) under uncultured bacterium. Its description in RNAcentral is "partial 16S ribosomal RNA". It matches the Rfam family "Bacterial small subunit ribosomal RNA", at positions 30 to 507 of the family's 1533-position model. The record is from RNAcentral.
AUUGAACGCUGGCGGCAUGCCUAACACAUGCAAGUCGAGCGGAUGAAGGGAGCUUGCUCCUGGAUUCAGCGGCGGACGGGUGAGGAAUGCCUAGGAAUCUGCCUGGUAGUGGGGGAUAACGUCCGGAAACGGGCGCUAAUACCGCAUACGUCCUGAGGGAGAUAGUGGGGGAUCUUCGGACCUCACGCUAUCAGAUGAGCCUAGGUCGGAUUAGCUAGUUGGUGGGGUAAAGGCCUACCAAGGCGACGAUCCGUAACUGGUCUGAGAGGAUGAUCAGUCACACUGGAACUGAGACACGGUCCAGACUCCUACGGGAGGCAGCAGUGGGGAAUAUUGGACAAUGGGCGAAAGCCUGAUCCAGCCAUGCCGCGUGUGUGAAGAAGGUCUUCGGAUUGUAAAGCACUUUAAGUUGGGAGGAAGGGCAGUAAGUUAAUACCUUGCUGUUUUGACGUUACCAACAGAAUAAGCACCGGCUAACUUCGUG